GGUUUUUACCACAGCAACCCUUUAUGCCCUAUUUGAGCAUAAUUAUACAUGAGCAGAUCUAGGAUAUAUUGUAAAGAUCAGAUGGUCUAAACUGGAGACUUACUACUCAAGAUGCAUGGACCAGCAGCAAUGGCAUCAUCAGGGAGCUUGUUGGAAGUACAGAAUCUCAGACUUUCGAGUAUUUUACCAUGAACAAAGCAAUAUGCAUGCAGCACAAUAUGAGCCACAGAGCAGGUGUUCAAAGACG
Long non-coding RNA from Gorilla gorilla gorilla (western lowland gorilla), 247 nucleotides. RefSeq lists it as uncharacterized. The transcript is spliced from 3 exons. The record is from RefSeq and is a predicted model, not a curated record. Lineage: Eukaryota; Metazoa; Chordata; Mammalia; Primates; Hominidae.